RNAcentral lists this ribosomal RNA (245 nucleotides) under uncultured bacterium. RNAcentral describes it as "partial 16S ribosomal RNA". It matches the Rfam family "Bacterial small subunit ribosomal RNA", at positions 527 to 772 of the family's 1533-position model. The record is from RNAcentral.
GGAGGAUGCGAGCGUUAUCCGAAUUUAUUGGGUUUAAAGGGUGCGUAGGCCGGAGAUCAAGUCAGCGGUAAAAUUGCGGGGCUCAACCCCGUAGAGCCGUUGAAACUGGUUUUCUUGAGUGGGCGAGAAGUAUGCGGAAUGCGUGGUGUAGCGGUGAAAUGCAUAGAUAUCACGCAGAACUCCGAUUGCGAAGGCAGCAUACCGGCGCCCAACUGACGCUGAAGCACGAAAGCGUGGGUAUCGAA